UAAAAGAUUCCUUUGAGAGUGCUCCUUGGC
RNAcentral lists this non-coding RNA (30 nucleotides) under Mus musculus (house mouse). The record is from RNAcentral. Lineage: Eukaryota; Metazoa; Chordata; Mammalia; Rodentia; Muridae.